Molecule: ribosomal RNA, 254 nt
Filed under: uncultured bacterium
Lineage: Bacteria
Description: partial 16S ribosomal RNA
Rfam family: Bacterial small subunit ribosomal RNA
Source: RNAcentral
UACGUAGGGUGCGAGCGUUGUCCGGAAUUAUUGGGCGUAAAGAGCUCGUAGGCGGUGUGUCACGUCGGCCGUGAAAACCUGCAGCUUAACUGUGGGCGUGCGGUCGAUACGGGCAUCACUGGAGUUCGGCAGGGGAGACUGGAAUUCCUGGUGUAGCGGUGAAAUGCGCAGAUAUCGGGAGGAACACCGAUGGCGAAGGCAGGUCUCUGGGCAUUAACUGACGCUGAGGAGCGAAAGCAUGGGGAGCGAACAGG